Molecule: long non-coding RNA, 1042 nt
Organism: Oncorhynchus tshawytscha (Chinook salmon)
Lineage: Eukaryota; Metazoa; Chordata; Actinopteri; Salmoniformes; Salmonidae
Source: Ensembl
AUACCACCAUCUAUAUACAACUACUACAUACCACCAUCUAUAUACCACCAUCUAUAUACCACUAUCACAUACCACCAACUAUAUACCACCAUCUAUAUACCACUAUCACAUACCACCAACUAUAUACCACCAUCUAUAUACCACUAUUACAUACCACCAUCUAUAUACCACCAUCUAUAUACCACUAUCACAUACCACCAACUAUAUACCACCAUCUAUAUACCACUAUUACAUACCAACAUCUAUAUACCACCAUCUACAUACCACUAUUACAUACCACCAUCUAUAUACCACUAUUACAUACCACCAUAUAUAUACCACUAUUACAUACCACCAACUAUAUACCACUAUUACAUACCACCAUCUAUAUACCACUAUUACAUACCACCAACUAUAUACCACUAUUACAUACCACCAUCUAUAUACCACUAUUACAUACCACCAUCUAUAUACCACUAUUACAUACCACCAACUAUAUACCACUAUUACAUACAACCAUCUAUAUACCACCAACUAUAUACCACUAUUACAUAACACUAUCUACCAUCUAUAUACCACUAUUACAUACCACCAACUAUAUACCGCCAUUACAUACCACCAUCUAUAUACCACCAACUAACAUCUAUAUACCACUAUUACACAACACAAUCUAUAUACCACUAUUACAUACCACCAUCUAUAUACCACUAUUACAUACCACCAUCUAUAUACCACUAUUACAUACCACCAACUAACAUCUAUAUACCACUAUUACAUACCACCAUCUAUAUACCACUAUUACAUACCACCAACUAACAUCUAUAUACCACUAUUACAUACCACCAGUUAAUCCUCCACCUAUAUACCACAACCAGCCCGACGGCCUGGGAGGACGGGACUCCGGUGCGUCCGGUUCUCCCAGAGAAAGUUGUGCCGUUAAAGAGAAGGUUUUACCGUUAAAGGCCGUGCAGCUUUUACUUUUUACCAUGUGGCCUCUGCAGAAGUCAGGGCAUUCAUACGUACUGCGCUUCUCCGUGCCGCACAGAGCUGUUGUCAAGGAAGU